Long non-coding RNA from Lolium perenne, 683 nucleotides. RefSeq lists it as uncharacterized. The record is from RefSeq and is a predicted model, not a curated record. Lineage: Eukaryota; Viridiplantae; Streptophyta; Magnoliopsida; Poales; Poaceae.
UCUCUCUUCAGGCUGCAGGCAGGGAAGCGUACUGGAGGGUGGCUGCCGGGGCUUGGCGUGAGUUCUUGAUGGCAUGGUGAGGGAGCAAGACAUCAUCAGGUUUACUUACUGAUGUGGCCUCUGCGUCCCGUGCGCUGGUGGUGCAGUCCUCUCAGAUCAGACACAAGCAGGUAGUUGUAGAUACCGUAUCUUCAAACGAGUUACUCAUAGCAUCUACAGAGUGGGCCAAUAUUCGAAAAGAGCACAAGACUUGAGGAUUUGAGCAUGCUUGUAGGCUAGAAGCAUCAACUUCAGACUUCGUCACUUGUUGACAGUCUAAAAUUGACCCUGAACUGAUAUGGGCACUUGCUAAGCAAGAUGUCAAAGACAAGCACCAGCUGAAGAUGAAAUAGAAAAUACAGCCGGUAAAGGCACCAACGAAGGAAAACCUUCAGGCGUCAAACAUGAUGGAAGGAUGUUGGAUGGUCAGGUAAUUAGUAUAAUCUACAUGCCUCAAUGGCCUUUGUGGGCUGCUGAUGAUCACCCCACAUACUAUGCAAUUUUACUCCUUGGUGCUUGCACAUCCAUGAAAUCCAUAUCCAUGAAAUCUGGAUGUACUGGAUUCCACAUGCUGCAUGCAUAAGUUUGGUUCUCUCUUAUAUAGAGUCCCCAGUUUUGUUCUCACGUGUUAUAGCAUUACAGCA